CCCCGGACUAAUUAGACCGCAUAGAAGUUGCUUUAAGUACGGUAGUAAUAUCAAUGCAAUGCAAGGGAAGAUGAAACUCAACCGCAUCUUAGAAAUCUAUUAUAUAUGUAUAAAAACAGAGCAACGGGUCUAUAUAUUUUGUUUGGCAUGUGUCCAUAUAUUUAUGGGAGAGAAAUGGAGGUAAGGGAGCUCCGAAGCGCGUCGUCUCGUGCAACAUCCCGCGGUGCUAGCCCGCUUCUACGUGUCUAUGGACUCGACCUUGCCAUCAAAUAUGACGGAAUCCGAUGACGCCAUAGGCUUAAAAUCAAUUGCAGUUAAGUAAACUUCACUGCCGAACAUCAACGGAGAGAUAGCGGCACUGCCGACGGAGUCCAUCAUGAAGCUGGAGUCUUCGAGCUGAAGCGGCUGACGAAUGGGGAGAUCGCCACCGUGGUGGAGGUUCGGGUCAUGGAUCUGAACGCAGGGCGCCGCAGGUUGCGCCGAUUCCGCUGGGCACUGCUCGCCGUCGGAGGCGAGGCGAAGGAAGAAGCAGAGGCGGCGGCAGGAGAAGGUGGGGAUGGGAGUUUCGGCAGGUCGCGAGACGAGAUCGGCAUAGAGGAGAGCGCGC
Molecule: long non-coding RNA, 607 nt
Filed under: Elaeis guineensis (African oil palm)
Lineage: Eukaryota; Viridiplantae; Streptophyta; Magnoliopsida; Arecales; Arecaceae
Description: long non-coding RNA (EGUI_LNC048931)
Source: RNAcentral